Molecule: ribosomal RNA, 613 nt
Filed under: Sclerotinia sclerotiorum
Lineage: Eukaryota; Fungi; Ascomycota; Leotiomycetes; Helotiales; Sclerotiniaceae
Description: LSU rRNA
Rfam family: Eukaryotic large subunit ribosomal RNA
Source: RNAcentral
UUGCAUUCAAGCGGAGGAAAAGAAACCACCAGGGAUUACCUCAGUAACGGCGAGUGAAGCGGUAAAAGCUCAAAUUUGAAAUCUGGCUCUUUCAGAGUCCGAGUUGUAAUUUGUAGAAGAUGCUUCGGGUGUGGUUCCGGUCUAAGUUCCUUGGAACAGGACGUCAUAGAGGGUGAGAAUCCCGUAUGUGACUGGAUACCUAUGCUCAUGUGAAGCUCUUUCGACGAGUCGAGUUGUUUGGGAAUGCAGCUCAAAAUGGGUGGUAUAUUUCAUCUAAAGCUAAAUAUUGGCCAGAGACCGAUAGCGCACAAGUAGAGUGAUCGAAAGAUGAAAAGCACUUUGGAAAGAGAGUUAAACAGUACGUGAAAUUGUUGAAAGGGAAGCGCUUGCAAUCAGACUUGCACUUGGUGUUCAUCAGGGUUUCGUGCCCUGUGUACUUCAUCAAGUUCAGGCCAGCAUCAGUUUGAGUGGUUAGAUAAAGGCUUGGAGAAUGUGGCCCUCUUCGGGGGGUGUUAUAGCUCCAGGUGCAAUGUAGCCUACUUGGACUGAGGACCGCGCUUCGGCUAGGAUGCUGGCGUAAUGGUUGUAAGCGACCCGUCUUGAACACGACCAA